RNAcentral lists this ribosomal RNA (34 nucleotides) under Allium dentiferum. Its description in RNAcentral is "partial large subunit ribosomal RNA". The record is from RNAcentral. Lineage: Eukaryota; Viridiplantae; Streptophyta; Magnoliopsida; Asparagales; Amaryllidaceae.
CAUGACCCCAGAUCAGACGGGACCACCCGCUGAG